GGGGUUGUAGCUCAGUUGGCUAGAGCGCUUCGUUCGCAACGAAGAGGUCGGGAGUUCGACUCUCCUCAACUCCA
This 74-nucleotide transfer RNA is filed under the name Bacteroidota bacterium. RNAcentral's name for it is "Bacteroidetes bacterium tRNA-Ala". It matches the Rfam family "tRNA". From Rfam's summary of the family: Transfer RNA (tRNA) molecules are approximately 80 nucleotides in length. Their secondary structure includes four short double-helical elements and three loops (D, anti-codon, and T loops). Lineage: Bacteria; Pseudomonadati; Bacteroidota. RNAcentral also lists the same sequence under 1 other name. The record is from RNAcentral.